UCGAACGGGCUCUUCGGAGCUAGUGGCGGACGGGUGAGUAACGCGUGAGAAUCUGCCUCCAGGUCUGGGACAACAGAAGGAAACUUCUGCUAAUCCCGGAUGAGCCCUUGGGUAAAAGAUAAAUUGCCUGGAGAUGAGCUCGCGUCUGAUUAGCUAGUUGGUGUGAUAAAAGCAUACCAAGGCGACGAUCAGUAGCUGGUCUGAGAGGAUGAGCAGCCACACUGGGACUGAGACACGGCCCAGACUCCUACGGGAGGCAGCAGCGGGGAAUUUUCCGCAAUGGGCGAAAGCCUGACGGAGCAAGACCGCGUGGGGGAGGAAAGCUCUAGGGUUGUAAACCCCUUUUCUUUGGGAAGAAGUACUGACGGUACCAAAGGAAUCAGCCUCGGCUAACUCCGUGCCAGCAGCCGCGGUAAUACUGAGGAGGCAAGCGUUCUCCGGAAUGAUUGGGCGUAAAGCGUCCGCAGGUGGCCAUGUAUAGUCUGCUGUCAAAACCCAGGGUUUAACUCUGGUCAGGCAAUGGAA
This 525-nucleotide ribosomal RNA is filed under the name uncultured bacterium. RNAcentral's name for it is "bacterial SSU rRNA". It matches the Rfam family "Bacterial small subunit ribosomal RNA", at positions 62 to 631 of the family's 1533-position model. The record is from RNAcentral.